Molecule: ribosomal RNA, 404 nt
Filed under: uncultured Candidatus Solibacter sp.
Lineage: Bacteria; Pseudomonadati; Acidobacteriota; Terriglobia; Bryobacterales; Solibacteraceae
Description: bacterial SSU rRNA
Rfam family: Bacterial small subunit ribosomal RNA
Source: RNAcentral
UGGGGAAUCUUGCACAAUGGGGGAAACCCUGAUGCAGCGACGCCGCGUGAGCGAUGAAGCCCUUCGGGGUGUAAAGCUCUUUCGGCAGGAACGAUGAUGACGGUACCUGCAGAAGAAGCUGCGGCUAACUACGUGCCAGCAGCCGCGGUAAUACGUAGGCAGCAAGCGUUGUUCGGAAUUACUGGGCGUAAAGAGUGCGUAGGCGGUGUCCUAAGUUCGGUGUGAAAUCUCCUGGCUUAACUGGGAGGGUGCGCCGGAAACUGGGAUGCUCGAGUAUGGGAGAGGUAGGCGGAAUUCCUGGUGUAGCGGUGAAAUGCGUAGAUAUCAGGAGGAACACCGGUGGUGUAGACGGCUUACUGGACCAUCACUGACGCUGAGGCACGAAAGCGUGGGUAGCAAACAGG